RNAcentral lists this ribosomal RNA (993 nucleotides) under Pleosporaceae sp. LM177. RNAcentral's name for it is "eukaryotic LSU rRNA". The stretch from base 1 to 357 matches the Rfam family "Eukaryotic small subunit ribosomal RNA", at positions 1477 to 1831 of the family's 1831-position model. Lineage: Eukaryota; Fungi; Ascomycota; Dothideomycetes; Pleosporales; Pleosporaceae. The record is from RNAcentral.
AAGUUCUGGGCCGCACGCGCGCUACACUGACAGAGCCAACGAGUUCUUCACCUUGGCCGAAAGGUCUGGGUAAUCUUGUUAAACUCUGUCGUGCUGGGGAUAGAGCAUUGCAAUUAUUGCUCUUCAACGAGGAAUGCCUAGUAAGCGCGUGUCAUCAGCAUGCGUUGAUUACGUCCCUGACCUUUGUACACACCGCCCGUCGCUACUACCGAUUGAAUGGCUCAGUGAGGCGUUCGGACUGGCUCGGGGAGGUUGGCAACGACCACCCCAAGCCGGAAAGUUCGUCAAACUCGGUCAUUUAGAGGAAGUAAAAGUCGUAACAAGGUCUCCGUAGGUGAACCUGCGGAGGGAUCAUUACACAAUAACAUAUGAAGGCUGUACGCGGCUGCGCCCUCGGGCCAGUUGGCUGAGGCUGGAGUAUUUAUUACCCUUGUCUUUUGCGCACUUGUUGUUUCCUGGGCGGGUUCGCCCGCCACCAGGACCACAUGAUAAACCUUUUUUUAUGCAGUUGCAAUCAGCGUCAGUACAACAAAUGUAAAUCAUUUACAACUUUCAACAACGGAUCUCUUGGUUCUGGCAUCGAUGAAGAACGCAGCGAAAUGCGAUACGUAGUGUGAAUUGCAGAAUUCAGUGAAUCAUCGAAUCUUUGAACGCACAUUGCGCCCUUUGGUAUUCCAAAGGGCAUGCCUGUUCGAGCGUCAUUUGUACCCUCAAGCUUUGCUUGGUGUUGGGCGUUUUUUGUCUUUGGUCACCAAAGACUCGCCUUAAAAGGAUUGGCAGCCCGGCUACUGGUUUCGCAGCGCAACACAUUUUUUGCGCUUGCAAUCAGCAAAAGAGGACGGCACUCCAUCAGACUCCUUCUUACGUUUGACUCGGAUAGGGAGGGAACCCUGAACUUAGCUAUCAUAACGGAGGAAAAAAACCAACAGGGAUCCCUAUACGGCGGUGACGGGAAACUCAAAUUGAAUUGGUCUUCAAAUCGAAUGAAUUGAA